This 942-nucleotide ribosomal RNA is filed under the name Triticum aestivum (bread wheat). RNAcentral describes it as "partial small subunit ribosomal RNA". The record is from RNAcentral. Lineage: Eukaryota; Viridiplantae; Streptophyta; Magnoliopsida; Poales; Poaceae.
AUGGCGAAUCGCGCCGCCAUCAUCUUCGUCGUCGUCCUAAAAGUGGCUGUCCUCUCGUCGUCCGCAGCCGCGCAGCUGAGGCCGGACUACUACGCCGGCGUCUGCCCCAACCUGGAGGGCAUCGUCCGGAGCUCCGUGAAGCAGUCCAUGGUCAAGUCCCCCAUCUCCGCGCCCGCUACCCUCAGGCUCUUCUUCCACGACUGCUGCGUGCAGGGCUGUGAUGCGUCGGUCAUGAUCAUGGGCUCAACCGGAGACGACGAGAACCCCGACAAAUAUUCGUUGAAGCCGGAGGGGUUCCAGACGAUCCUGGACGCCAAGGCCGCCGUGGACAGCGACCCGCAGUGCCGUUACAAGGUGUCCUGCGCCGACAUAAUCGCCCUUGCCACAAGAGAGUCCGUCUCCCAGAGCGGAGGGCCGAACUACACAGUGGAGCUCGGCAGGUACGAUGGAAAGAAGUCGACGGACAGAAGCGUCAGGCUGCCGCACCCCGGCGACAACCUCGACAGCCUCAAUGCCUACUUCUCAACCUUGGGCCUCUCCCAGACUGACAUGAUCGCCCUAUCAGGUGGCCACACCUUGGGCGCGGCGGACUGCGGCUUCUUCAAGUACAGGAUCGGUGGCAACGACCAGAGCAUGAACCCAAGUUUCGACGCGCAGCUCCAGGGCACCUGUGCCAAACAGAACUUUGCGUUCCUGGACGACGUUACACCGGUAGGGUUUGACAACUUCUACUACCGGAACCUGCAGAACGGCAGGGGCCUCCUGGGGUCCGACCAGGUGCUGUACACGGAUGAGAGGUCCCGCGGCACCGUGGACUUCUACGCGGCCAACCAGGGCACCUUCUUCUCCGACUUCGUCAUUGCCAUGACGAAGCUCGGCAGGGUUGGGGUCAAGACGGCCGCUGACGGCGAGAUACGCCGUGACUGUCAGUACCCAAACUAA